Long non-coding RNA from Mesocricetus auratus (golden hamster), 765 nucleotides. RefSeq lists it as uncharacterized. The transcript is spliced from 4 exons. The record is from RefSeq and is a predicted model, not a curated record. NCBI's taxonomy places the organism in Eukaryota, Metazoa, Chordata, Mammalia, Rodentia, Cricetidae.
UUUUUGUUCCUUCCUUUCUUAUUUAAGUAAUUCUGCCAGUGUUCUGUUUUGCUCAUGGAACAAUUGGGGUCAUUCUAGGAUGAAUUUUAGGCUUAGCAACGGGAAGGAAAUGAGCUUCUGUGAACUGGCUGCCUGUUGCUUAGCAAAAAGUUCUUUGUUGUUACACACCUUACACCCUUAGCGAGCAACUUCUGCAUAUCAAAACGUCCUAUCUGGAAUUGUUGAAGGAACCAUUUGCUGAGGCAAUUCCCAGCCACGAGACCAAUUGGUUUAUCAGGUUCUCUCAUAACUAAGUUUUGCAAAGGCUCCAAGUCCUUCAGGAAGAACUCAGAUAAACAAGAACUAGACACUUCAAACAAAAGAUUAUAUAUCCCACCAAAAUCUUUCAAGAAAUAUAAAAAUUACAACAUGGUUACAUUCUAUUUUUUAAGUGGAUGUUUAUAAUGAAUACAGUACCCCCAACAGAAACCAAACUAAAGAAGAAACAGCUUGUUUUGGCUCACAGAUCAAGGACUAUGGUGGGGAAGUUCGGGAGCAGAAAACUGAGGCAGCCUACCAUCGGCAGUCAAGGAACAGACUGAAUUCAAUUGGGAGCUGUUUCACCCAGAGAGACUACAGUUUUCACCUGCUUCAAUAAAGCUACAACCAGUUCUAAGUGCUGAGCCAACACUGAAUUGCUCUUUUCUGGUUUGCUCGGGCCCUGCCCCUCCUCACAAUGUCUAAUGUUUUCCUCUGAUUCUCGUUUCAUUAAAAGGUGCUAAUUAA